RNAcentral lists this long non-coding RNA (962 nucleotides) under Ananas comosus (pineapple). Its description in RNAcentral is "long non-coding RNA (ACOM_LNC023536)". Lineage: Eukaryota; Viridiplantae; Streptophyta; Magnoliopsida; Poales; Bromeliaceae. The record is from RNAcentral.
UUAUAUAUAUAUAUAUAUAUAUAUAUAUAUAUAUAUAGAGAGAGAGAGAGAGAGAGAGAGAGAGAGAGAGAGAGAGAGAGAGAGAGAGAGAGAGUUGGACUGGGCUACUAUUAGUAGCAAAAUUCCAUUGUUGCUAUCAGUUUUUUAGCCUUAUCAACUCUUUUCAUAAUUUCCAACCAUUGGAUUAAAUACUAUAACCCUAGGCGGACCACUCAACUCUAACCGACUAAUAUCAUCCUGAUCCUACAAUUUUUCAUCCAAGGGUUAAAAACUUGAUAGCAAAAAGAGCGUUUUACUAUUAAUAGUAUUCCAGCUUAAUUCUAUAUGUAUAUAUAUAUAUAUAUAUAGAGUCCAGCUAUGGUGCUUUUAAAAGCACCAAGCACAUGGUGCUUGUAGGUUUUUAGCCAUUAGAUUUGCACCGUUAACCAUUUACACCCGUUAGAUUAUACUAUUCAACCAACCACCCACUCAACCCUAGGGGGCCCACAUCAUCCUAACCACACAAUUCUUAAUCUAAAGGCUAAAAAUUUACAAGCACCUAUGCCAUGCUACUUUUAAAAGCAUAGGAGCUAAAUUAUAUAUAUAUAGUAUAGUUUGGCUACUAUACUUUUAUGAGUACGAUCGCCCUCUUACUCAUAAGUUGUUUUCGAUGAUAGUGCUUUCGAAUCAACGAUCCAUACAGUUAAAUAUUAUCUAGAGCAAUUAAAACGCAUAGAAAUCAAAUUUUAUAAUUUUUCGACAUUAUUUACCUUACAAUCAAAAUCUCACAAAAUUGACAAAUUUUUAAUGACCGGUAUGAGAUAUUUGCUAGUUUACUGGUGAAAAAGAAUCGGAAUAAGAUGAAUUUUUGAUAGAAAAUUCUAUUCACUACCUAAAUAAAGAUCAAUAACUCUGAUCUUAAAUUGAAGGAUCCGAUCAUCCAUUUUUAGGAUGUCGUUCGAUUUUAACCAUUCAUUUUAUAC